Molecule: ribosomal RNA, 392 nt
Filed under: uncultured Gammaproteobacteria bacterium
Lineage: Bacteria; Pseudomonadati; Pseudomonadota; Gammaproteobacteria
Description: bacterial SSU rRNA
Rfam family: Bacterial small subunit ribosomal RNA
Source: RNAcentral
AAUGGGCGCAAGCCUGAUCCAGCCAUGCCGCGUGAGUGAUGAAGGCCCUAGGGUCGUAAAGCUCUUUCGCCUGUGAAGAUAAUGACGGUAGCAGGUAAAGAAACCCCGGCUAACUCCGUGCCAGCGGCCGCGGUAAUACGGAGGGGGUUAGCGUUGUUCGAAAUUACUGGGCGUAAAGCGCGCGUAGGCGGAUUAGUCAGUCAGAGGUGAAAUCCCAGGGCUCAACCCUGGAACUGCCUUUGAUACUGCUAGUCUUGAGUUCGAGAGAGGUAAGUGGAAUUCCGAGCGUAGAGGUGAAAUUCGUAGAUAUUCGGAGGAACACCAGUGGCGAAGGCGGCUUACUGGCUCGAUACUGACGCUGAGGUGCGUAAGUGUGGGGAGCAAACAGGAUU